This 492-nucleotide ribosomal RNA is filed under the name uncultured bacterium. Its description in RNAcentral is "partial 16S ribosomal RNA". It matches the Rfam family "Bacterial small subunit ribosomal RNA", at positions 29 to 507 of the family's 1533-position model. The record is from RNAcentral.
AGUGAACGCUGGCGGUAGGCCUAACACAUGCAAGUCGAACGGCAGCACAGUAAGAGCUUGCUCUUACGGGUGGCGAGUGGCGGACGGGUGAGGAAUACAUCGGACUCUACUUUUUCGUGGGGGAUAACGUAGGGAAACUUACGCUAAUACCGCAUACGACCUACGGGUGAAAGCAGGGGAUCUUCGGACCUUGCGCGAUUGAAUGAGCCGAUGUCGGAUUAGCUAGUUGGCAGGGUAAAGGCCCACUAAGGCGACGAUCCGUAGCUGGUGUGAGAGGAUGAUAAGCAACACUGGAAAGGAGACACAGACCACACUCCUAAGGGAGGCAGCAGUGGGGAAUAGAAGGCAGAGGGGGCAAGCCUGAUCCAGCGGUACCGCGUGGGUGCAGAAGGCCUUCAGUUUGUGAAGCCGUAUUGUUGGGUGAAAAAAGCUGCAGGUUAAUACCAAGCUGGUCUGACGGUACCCAGUGAAUAAGCACCGGCUAACUACGUG